UUUUUUGUGAGUCACUGACAGUAUUCCAGCUGAUCAUGAAAACCAUAGUGCUGCUGUUAGGAGUUUUUGUGGCCUUUCUAGGACUGGCGGCGGCCGGCGAAAUUCCCCCGAUGUAUCACCUUCGAAUAUCUAAACUAUGCGGAUGUCCACCAGAAAAGGAAUUUUGCUCCGGCUACGACCAUAAGACUUA
Long non-coding RNA from Cydia strobilella, 190 nucleotides. RefSeq lists it as uncharacterized. NCBI's taxonomy places the organism in Eukaryota, Metazoa, Arthropoda, Insecta, Lepidoptera, Tortricidae. The record is from RefSeq and is a predicted model, not a curated record. The transcript has 2 exons.